This 377-nucleotide long non-coding RNA is filed under the name Mytilus galloprovincialis (Mediterranean mussel). Lineage: Eukaryota; Metazoa; Mollusca; Bivalvia; Mytilida; Mytilidae. The record is from RNAcentral.
UAACUCUCAUAUGGAGUCUCCGGAUAGCUUCGGUCAAAAUGAAUCAAAUCAUCCUCAGGAUAUAACGAGCAAUUUGGUAAAAUAAAUUUGUCGGUUUCUUAUACGGUUGCGAAGAUUAAGCGAUAACAAGAAAAACAGUGUUCGGGGAGAUAACACUCUUAUAUGAGAAAGUAUUCGGUUUAGCAGGGUCAGUUUCAAAAGCGCAUAAACUGUUCGAUAUCAUAUUUCAUUUAUCUUAGCGACAUCUUGCGAAACAAAAAAACAGCGAAGGAAAUAAAAUUAGGCGGAAGAAAAAAAAAAAAAUAAUAAUCAGAAGAAAUCCAAUAGGUCUUUCCACGGAAAAGUGGAAAGACCUAAUAAUCAGAAGAAAAGCAAUA